UAUGAUGACAGUAAGCCUUUAUCAAUUCCUGAACAUGCUGAGUUAGAACUUUUAUUCAGGUGGAAAAGUUGAUAGUUUCUUUGGAAAAGGAAAUCAAUGAAUCGGAGGCAAACAUAGAUGGACAAAUAAUGAAUAAACAAUCAUUGAUAUUGGUUAUUAAUACCAACCUUGAUUUGAUCUAAGCAAAUAAUCCAACCUUGCC
This 202-nucleotide long non-coding RNA is filed under the name Trifolium pratense (red clover). RNAcentral's name for it is "long non-coding RNA (TPRA_LNC007021)". Lineage: Eukaryota; Viridiplantae; Streptophyta; Magnoliopsida; Fabales; Fabaceae. The record is from RNAcentral.